CGGACUGCGGGACCUCUGCAAAAAGACAAACAUACCUUAGACGCAAGCGUCGUCGGUUAGUUUCCUAUUUUGCUCUUGUCCG
RNAcentral lists this non-coding RNA (82 nucleotides) under unclassified sequences. The record is from RNAcentral.